UACGAAGGGGGCUAGCGUUGUUCGGAAUUACUGGGCGUAAAGCGCGUGUAGGCGGUUGUGCAAGUUGUAUGUGAAAGCCUUGAGCUUAACUCAAGAAAUGCAUUCAGGACUGGAUGACUAGAGGACCGGAGAGGAUAGUGGAAUUCCCAGUGUAGUGGUGAAAUACGUAGAGAUUGGGAAGAACACCAGUGGCGAAGGCGGCUAUCUGGACGGUUUCUGACGCUAAGACGCGAAAGCGUGGGGAGCAAACAGG
This 253-nucleotide ribosomal RNA is filed under the name uncultured bacterium. Its description in RNAcentral is "partial 16S ribosomal RNA". It matches the Rfam family "Bacterial small subunit ribosomal RNA", at positions 524 to 776 of the family's 1533-position model. The record is from RNAcentral.